This 403-nucleotide ribosomal RNA is filed under the name uncultured bacterium. RNAcentral describes it as "partial 16S ribosomal RNA". It matches the Rfam family "Bacterial small subunit ribosomal RNA", at positions 355 to 750 of the family's 1533-position model. The record is from RNAcentral.
UGGGGAAUAUUGGACAAUGGGCGAAAGCCUGAUCCAGCCAUGCCGCGUGUGUGAAGAAGGUCUUCGGAUUGUAAAGCACUUUAAGUUGGGAGGAAGGGCAUUAACCUAAUACGUUAGUGUUUUGACGUUACCGACAGAAUAAGCACCGGCUAACUCUGUGCCAGCAGCCGCGGUAAUACAGAGGGUGCAAGCGUUAAUCGGAAUUACUGGGCGUAAAGCGCGCGUAGGUGGUUUGUUAAGUUGGAUGUGAAAUCCCCGGGCUCAACCUGGGAACUGCAUUCAAAACUGACUGACUAGAGUAUGGUAGAGGGUGGUGGAAUUUCCUGUGUAGCGGUGAAAUGCGUAGAUAUAGGAAGGAACACCAGUGGCGAAGGCGACCACCUGGACUAAUACUGACACUGAG